AUGAUGAUCACCACUCAUCUCCUGGGAUUGCUGUUACUCUGGCUUACAGGUGCCAGAUGUGACAUCCAGAUGACCCAGUCUCCAGCAAUCCUGUCUGUAUCUCUGGGAGACAGUGUCACCAUCACAUGUCAGGCUAGUCAAAACAUUUACAAUGGUUUGGCGUGGCAUCAGCAGAAACCAGGGAAAUCUCCCAAGCUCCUGAUUUAUACUGCAAGCGACUUGGCAAAUGGAGUCUCAUCAAGGUUCAGUGGCAGUAGAUCUGGCACACAGUAUUCUCUCAAGAUCAAUGGUCUGCUGACUGAAGAUGUUGCAACUUAUUUUUGUCAACAAUAUUACACAUAUAGUUAUCUUCUUGGCUAUGGGAAGUAG
Non-coding RNA from Microtus oregoni (creeping vole), 369 nucleotides. NCBI's taxonomy places the organism in Eukaryota, Metazoa, Chordata, Mammalia, Rodentia, Cricetidae. The record is from the annotation of a RefSeq genome assembly.